Molecule: ribosomal RNA, 403 nt
Filed under: uncultured bacterium
Lineage: Bacteria
Description: bacterial SSU rRNA
Rfam family: Bacterial small subunit ribosomal RNA
Source: RNAcentral
UAGGGAAUAUUGCAAAAUGGGCGAAAGCCCGAUGCAGCAACGCCGCGUGGGCGAUGAAGGCCUUCGGGUCGUAAAGCCCUUUUUGAGGGGAUGAGGAAGGACAGUACCCUCAGAAUAAGCCUCGGCUAACUACGUGCCAGCAGCCGCGGUAAAACGUAGGAGGCGAGCGUUAUCCGGAUUUACUGGGCGUAAAGCGCGUGCAGGCGGAUUGGAGAGUUGGAUGUGAAAGCUCCCGGCUUAGCUGGGAGAGGUCGUUCAAUACUUCCAGUCUUGAGUGCAGUAGAGGGAAGUGGAAUUCCGGGUGUAGUGGUGAAAUGCGUAGAUAUCCGGAGGAACACCAGUGGCGAAAGCGGCUUCCUGGACUGUAACUGACGCUCAGACGCGAAAGCUAGGGUAGCAAACG